GAUGAACGCUAGCGGCAGGCCUAACACAUGCAAGUCGAGGGGCAUCAUGGCGUAGCAAUACGCUGAUGGCGACCGGCGCACGGGUGCGUAACGCGUAUGGAACCUACCCACCGCAGGGGGAUAACCCGCCGAAAGGCGGACUAAUACCCCAUGGUUCCCCGACCCUGCCUGGGGUUGGGGGUAAAGCCUACGGGCGGCGGUGGAUGGCCCUGCGUGCCAUUAGCUGGCUGGUGGGGUAACGGCCCACCAGGGCGACGAUGGCUAGGGGGUCUGAGAGGACGAUCCCCCACACUGGUACUGAGACACGGACCAGACUCCUACGGGAGGCAGCAGUGAGGAAUAUUGGUCAAUGGGCGGGAAGCCUGAACCAGGCCAUGCCGCGUGCGGGAUGAAGGCCCUACGGGUUGUAAACCGCUUUUAUAUGGGAGCAAUAAGGUCUACGUGUAGACUGAUGAGAGUACCAUAUGAAUAAGCAUCGGCUAACUCCGUGCCAGCAGCCGCGGUAAA
RNAcentral lists this ribosomal RNA (507 nucleotides) under uncultured bacterium. Its description in RNAcentral is "bacterial SSU rRNA". It matches the Rfam family "Bacterial small subunit ribosomal RNA", at positions 28 to 524 of the family's 1533-position model. The record is from RNAcentral.